CAAAGCAGAAGUCUGGGAGCCGCCCCCACCUGGGGGGCUUAGGAGCCCAGAAGACAAUGCUGAGACAGGCACUUGAGGCCGUGCGCUUCCCAAAUCUGCCACGGGGAGCACUUGCAAGGAUAGCCCAGUCUAAUGGAAGAGACUGUCCCUGUCUGUAGGAAGUCCGCAGCCCAAGAGGGAAGACAGGAGACACAUCGAAAUUACGUCAGAGGACCCAAUCCAGGAUUCCACCUUCUAUGAGUCGUGUGUCUCCUUUGUCUCCUCCAGUCUGUGACAGCUCCUCCGUCUUUCCUUGUCUUUCGUGACUGUGACAUUUUUGAAGAGCACCGGUCAGUUAUUUUGUAGACUAUCCCUCAGUUUGGGUUUUUCUGAUAUUCUCUCAUCAUCAGAUUAAGUUAAGCCUUUUGGCAACAAAAACAGAGAAAUGCCGUGGUCUCCUUCUCAGUGCGUCAUCUCAGGUAUAUAAGACGUAUGUCAAUGUCUUAUUGCUGGUGACGUUAACCUCGUCCAUUAGCUAAGGCGGUGUUUGAGGAUCUCUCCACUGUAAAGUUACUAUUUUUUCCAUUGAAAUUAAUAAAUACCUUGAGGAAGUUACCUUGAGACGAGGCAACUAUCCUGUUUCCCCUUAAAUUGUCACCCACUAGUUUUCCCAUCUAUCAGUGGAGGCAAAGAGCUCUGGACGCCCACCGGGCUCAAGAACCUCAUUUGCCCCUUGAGGGCCUGUGGUUUUUAGGAGAGACUUUGGUGGCAGGAGUCCAGACCCAAGAAAGAACUCUUUCCUCCUAUCUCGUCCAGCCCCAAAGCCAGCCCGGGCCUCCUCAAACCCUCUGCAUGCCCUACAACUCUCCCAUGCCGGCCUCCCUUGAACAGGGAAGUGCUUCUCUAAUCAUUGAUGUCUAGAGUCUUUUCCUAGGCCCCCACCAGCCCUGGGGGAAAGGAGGGGACAGUCAGGAUCCUCCUCCUGUCACAGGUAAGAGGUCUGAGGUCCAGAGAGACUCAUAGUUAAGUGACCAGCUGGAACUCUCCUUGUGAUUCUCAGACCCACAGGGUCUGCCCAGGGCUGGG
Equus quagga is the source of this 1065-nucleotide long non-coding RNA. RefSeq lists it as uncharacterized. The transcript is spliced from 3 exons. NCBI's taxonomy places the organism in Eukaryota, Metazoa, Chordata, Mammalia, Perissodactyla, Equidae. The record is from RefSeq and is a predicted model, not a curated record.